UUCUAUUGUUGGUCUGAGUUCUUUGU
Molecule: non-coding RNA, 26 nt
Filed under: Rattus norvegicus (Norway rat)
Lineage: Eukaryota; Metazoa; Chordata; Mammalia; Rodentia; Muridae
Source: RNAcentral